RNAcentral lists this ribosomal RNA (468 nucleotides) under uncultured bacterium. Its description in RNAcentral is "partial 16S ribosomal RNA". It matches the Rfam family "Bacterial small subunit ribosomal RNA", at positions 38 to 507 of the family's 1533-position model. The record is from RNAcentral.
GGGGGGGGGGGGGGGCGGGCUGGAGGCGUGCGAGGCGGGCGGGGAGGCCCUGCUUGUGUGGGGUGCUCGAGUGGCGACCGGGUGAGUAACACGUGAGUAACCUGCCCUUGACUUUGGGGUAACUUCAGGCACAUGGGGCUAAUACCGGAUAGGCGCUCCUGCUGCCUGGUGGUGGUUGGACAGUUUCGCCGGUUGGGGAUGGAAUCGCGGCUUAUCAGCUUGUUGGUGGGGUAGUGGCUUACCAAGGCUUUGACGGGUAGCCGGCCUGAGAGGGUGACCGGCCACAUUGGGACUGAGAUACGGCCCAGACUCCUACGGGGGGCAGCAGUGGGGAAUAUUGCACAAUGGGCGGAAGCCUGAUGCAGCAACGCCGCGUGCGGGAUGACGGCCUGCGGGUUGUAAACCGCUUUCGCCUGUGACGAAGCGUGAGUGACGGUAAUGGGUAAAGAAGCACCGGCUAACUACGUG